AUUGAACGCUGGCGGCAUGCCUUACACAUGCAAGUCGAACGGUAACAGGUCUUCGGAUGCUGACGAGUGGCGAACGGGUGAGUAAUACAUCGGAACGUGCCUAGUAGUGGGGGAUAACUACUCGAAAGAGUGGCUAAUACCGCAUGAGAUCUACGGAUGAAAGCAGGGGAUCGCAAGACCUUGUGCUACUAGAGCGGCCGAUGGCAGAUUAGGUAGUUGGUGGGAUAAAAGCUUACCAAGCCGACGAUCUGUAGAUGGUCUGAGAGGACGAUCAGCCACACGGGAACUGAGACACGGCCCAGGCUCCUACGGGGGGCAGCAGUGGGGAAUUUUGGACAAGGGGCGAAAGCCUGAUCCAGCAAUGCCGCGUGCAGGAUGAAGGCCUUCGGGUUGUAAACUGCUUUUGUACGGAACGAAAAGCCCCGGGUUAAUACCCUGGGGUCAUGACGGUACCGUAAGAAUAAGCACCGGCUAACUACGUGCCAGCCGCCGCCGUAA
This 498-nucleotide ribosomal RNA is filed under the name uncultured bacterium. RNAcentral describes it as "partial 16S ribosomal RNA". It matches the Rfam family "Bacterial small subunit ribosomal RNA", at positions 30 to 523 of the family's 1533-position model. The record is from RNAcentral.